CUACAUUGCUGUUGACUACUGUGCAUACUGUUUAAACAGCAGAAGGUAUGAACUUGAGGAAUUUUACAGCCUCAGGAACUGAAAUAUAACAACAAAAAAAACCUGCUGGACUGCCAGGGGCUGUAAUCAUGUCAGACUUUAUAAGCAAAGUAGGAUUUGGGCAGCUCAGUGUUGAGUGAAAGCACAUCAAGGAGAAAAAGAGGGAGAAGCACUGAAUCACUUCUUCAAGUCCCUCAGAAUGUUUCAUUUCCUUUACUUCUGUAU
RNAcentral lists this long non-coding RNA (264 nucleotides) under Numida meleagris (helmeted guineafowl). RNAcentral describes it as "lncRNA (ENSNMEG00000008966.1)". The record is from RNAcentral. Lineage: Eukaryota; Metazoa; Chordata; Aves; Galliformes; Numididae.